GGGGAUUUAGCUCAGCGGCAUAAGCGCCUGCCUUGCAAGCAGGCAGUCCUGGGUUCGAUCCCCAGUACCGACA
Cavia porcellus (domestic guinea pig) is the source of this 73-nucleotide transfer RNA. It matches the Rfam family "tRNA". Rfam says of the family: Transfer RNA (tRNA) molecules are approximately 80 nucleotides in length. Their secondary structure includes four short double-helical elements and three loops (D, anti-codon, and T loops). NCBI's taxonomy places the organism in Eukaryota, Metazoa, Chordata, Mammalia, Rodentia, Caviidae. The record is from Rfam.